Molecule: long non-coding RNA, 787 nt
Organism: Quercus robur (English oak)
Lineage: Eukaryota; Viridiplantae; Streptophyta; Magnoliopsida; Fagales; Fagaceae
Exons: 2
Source: RefSeq, a predicted model, not a curated record
AUAGUUAACGACACUGACGCGUGGAAGGCCAAAGCCCAAAAGCUAACUAAAUAGAGCCUUUCUAGUUGAGAACCAACGAAUCCCACAUCGUCUAGUUACACAAACCUUUAAGUCUUUAUUAGAAGGAAGGAGGCAGAUAAGCUUGUCCCUUCGGGGACAUCCGAUAAAAUUGGAACGAUACAGAGAAGAUUAGCAUGGCCCCUGCGCAAGGAUGACACGCAUAAAUCGAGAAAUGGUCCAAAUUUUUUUUCUUUUUUAAAUCCAAUCGCCCCCCUUCUUGCUCAACAGUUUACUUUUAAAUAAACAGUCAAUCUGCUCUUAUGUUAUCAACAACCGUGGCUGCCCACAUCAAUAUAAAGUCCUACCGAGUCAAGUAUCAUAUCAAUUUAAGAGUGCUUUUAACCGGGAUGGUAUUGGAUUUGUUCCGGAAGAAGAAUUGAGUGGUGAUGUUUGCAAUCCUAUUGGUUGGAGGAGAUUUAAAGUCUGCAUUCUCGAGUUGCUAUGUGAAGGAAAAUUAGUUUUAGUUGUAAGUUGUAACUAGUAAGCUUUUCUUAAACGUAGAUAGGAUUUACUUGUGAGGUUUAAAGAAAGAUAUGAGUUUAAAUGAUAACCUACAGAUGACAUUGGCACAAAGAGGAAUGGCAGGGAAAGCAUUGCAAGAGGCAAGAGCCAAGGAGGUGGCUUGUUUGAUUUUUGAUUGCAUUGUUGUGUUUCACAUGGUUUUCUUCUUAAUGUAAAGAAGUGGAGUACCUUGAUAAAAUUUAUUAUUGCCCACUUGCAACUGUUA